Molecule: ribosomal RNA, 447 nt
Filed under: uncultured bacterium
Lineage: Bacteria
Description: bacterial SSU rRNA
Rfam family: Bacterial small subunit ribosomal RNA
Source: RNAcentral
UACCAGACUCCUACGGGAGGCAGCAGUAGGGAAUCUUUCACAAUGGGCGAAAGCCUGAUGGAGCAACGCCGCGUGCAGGAUGAAGGCCUUCGGGUUGUAAACUGCUUUUAUAAGCGAGAAAUAUGAUGGUAACUUAUGAAUAAGGAUCGGCUAACUACGUGCCAGCAGCCGCGGUAAUACGGAGGGUGCAAGCGUUACUCGGAAUCACUGGGCGUAAAGAGUGCGUAGGCGGGGUAAUAAGUCAGAUGUGAAAUCCUGUAGCUUAACUACAGAACUGCAUUUGAAACUGUUACUCUGGAGUGUGGGAGAGGUAGGUGGAAUUCUUGGUGUAGGGGUAAAAUCCGUAGAGAUCAAGAGGAAUACUCAUUGCGAAGGCGACCUGCUGGAACAUUACUGACGCUGAUGCACGAAAGCGUGGGGAGCAAACAGGAUUAGAUACCCUCGUAA